GUACUUGCUUCGGCAGCACACAUACUAAAAUUGGAAUGAUACAGAGAAGAUUAGCAUCCUGAGUAAGGAUGACAUGUAAAUUCAUGAAGCAUUCCACUAAAAA
RNAcentral lists this small nuclear RNA (103 nucleotides) under Aotus nancymaae (Ma's night monkey). Lineage: Eukaryota; Metazoa; Chordata; Mammalia; Primates; Aotidae. The record is from RNAcentral.